Molecule: unclassified non-coding RNA, 250 nt
Filed under: plant metagenome
Description: partial contains small subunit ribosomal RNA, internal transcribed spacer 1, and 5.8S ribosomal RNA
Source: RNAcentral
GUAGGUGAACCUGCGGAAGGAUCAUUAAAAGAACUGGCUUCGGCCGGCUGCGAGAGCGAGCCCAUGGGGACGCUUACGGCCAGGAACUUGUCGGCGCCCUCCGGCCCGCCCGAUACUUGGGCGCGUGCUCUAAACUGGAGCGGCGUACAAUCACAUUGACGACAAGCCUCCCUGCGCCGUUUGCGCGACCACUGGCCCCGCCGACGCGUCACCCUCCGUGAAACGUCCCUUUGCUUAGGCAGCGCACCCA